This 301-nucleotide ribosomal RNA is filed under the name uncultured bacterium. RNAcentral describes it as "partial 16S ribosomal RNA". It matches the Rfam family "Bacterial small subunit ribosomal RNA", at positions 509 to 807 of the family's 1533-position model. The record is from RNAcentral.
CAGCCGCCACGGUAAUACGUAGGUGGCAAGCGUUGUCCGGAAUUAUUGGGCGUAAAGGGCUCGCAGGCGGUUUCUUAAGUCUGAUGUGAAAGCCCCCGGCUCAACCGGGGAGGGUCAUUGGAAACUGGGAAACUUGAGUGCAGAAGAGGAGAGUGGAAUUCCACGUGUAGCGGCGAAAUGCAUAGAGAUGUGGAGGAACACCAGUGGCGAAGGUGACUCUCUGGUCUGUAACUGACGCUGAGGAGCGAAAGCGUGAGGAGCGAACAGGAUUAGAUAUCCCGGUAGUCCCUGUCUCUUAUAC